GUGAAUCAUCGAAUUUUUGAACGCAAAUUGCGCCUUUUUCGAAAGGCAUGUCUGUUUGAGGGCACCAUUUAACAAAUAAUGUGCAGCGGUUUUUGUUGCACACGUUGAUGAGCUUUCCAAGAAUUUUAAAUUUUUGGUGGCGCAUAAUGAACAGCGUGAAGCUUUUUUUUCAAUUUGGGGGGAGUUAAAUUUUUUGAUGGGGUA
RNAcentral lists this unclassified non-coding RNA (204 nucleotides) under Paraglomus occultum. RNAcentral describes it as "partial contains 5.8S ribosomal RNA and internal transcribed spacer 2". The stretch from base 1 to 65 matches the Rfam family "5.8S ribosomal RNA", at positions 84 to 154 of the family's 154-position model. The record is from RNAcentral. Lineage: Eukaryota; Fungi; Glomeromycota; Glomeromycetes; Paraglomerales; Paraglomeraceae.